RNAcentral lists this ribosomal RNA (374 nucleotides) under uncultured organism. Its description in RNAcentral is "partial 16S ribosomal RNA". It matches the Rfam family "Bacterial small subunit ribosomal RNA", at positions 527 to 896 of the family's 1533-position model. The record is from RNAcentral.
GUAGGUGGCAAGCGUUGUCCGGAAUUAUUGGGCGUAAAGCGCGCGCAGGCGGUUCUUUAAGUCUGAUGUGAAAGCCCACGGCUCAACCGUGGAGGGUCAUUGGAAACUGGAGAACUUGAGUACAGAAGAGGAAAGCGGAACUCCACGUGUAGCGGUGAAAUGCGUAGAGAUGUGGAGGAACACCAGUGGCGAAGGCGGCUUUCUGGUCUGUAACUGACGCUGAGGCGCGAAAGCGCGGGGAGCAAACAGGGAUUAGAUACCCUGGUAGUCCACGCCGUAAACGAUGAGUGCUAAGUGUUAGGGGGGUUUCCGCCCCCUUAGUGCUGCAGCUAACGCAUUAAGCACUCCGCCUGGGGAGUACGGCCGCAAGGCUG